UGGGGAAUAUUGCGCAANGGGGGGAACCCUGACGCAGCCAUGCCGCGUGAAUGAAGAAGGCCUUAGGGUUGUAAAGUUCUUUCGGUAUUGAGGAAGGUUGAUGUGUUAAUAGCACAUCAAAUUGACGUUAAAUACAGAAGAAGCACCGGCUAACUCCGUGCCAGCAGCCGCGGUAAUACGGAGGGUGCGAGCGUUAAUCGGAAUAACUGGGCGUAAAGGGCACGCAGGCGGUUAUUUAAGUGAGGUGUGAAAGCCCCGGGCUUAACCUGGGAAUUGCAUUUCAGACUGGGUAACUAGAGUACUUUAGGGAGGGGUAGAAUUCCACGUGUAGCGGUGAAAUGCGUAGAGAUGUGGAGGAAUACCGAAGGCGAAGGCAGCCCCUUGGGAAUGUACUGACGCUCAUGUGCGAAAGCGUGGGGAGCAAACAGGAUUAGAUACCCUGGUAGUCCACGCUGUAAACGCUGUCGAUUUGGGGGUUGGGGUUUAACUCUGGCGCCCGUAGCUAACGUGAUAAAUCGACCGCCUGGGGAGUACGGCCGCAAGGUUA
Molecule: ribosomal RNA, 547 nt
Filed under: uncultured bacterium
Lineage: Bacteria
Description: bacterial SSU rRNA
Rfam family: Bacterial small subunit ribosomal RNA
Source: RNAcentral